This 509-nucleotide ribosomal RNA is filed under the name uncultured bacterium. RNAcentral describes it as "partial 16S ribosomal RNA". The stretch from base 12 to 374 matches the Rfam family "Bacterial small subunit ribosomal RNA", at positions 39 to 400 of the family's 1533-position model. The record is from RNAcentral.
GACGAACGCUGGCGGCGUGCUUAACACAUGCAAGUCGAACGGAAAGGCCCUGCUUUUGUGGGGUGCUCGAGUGGCGAACGGGUGAGUAACACGUGAGUAACCUGCCCUUGACUUUGGGAUAACUUCAGGAAACUGGGGCUAAUACCGGAUAGGAGCUCCUGCUGCAUGGUGGGGGUUGGAAAGUUUCGGCGGUUGGGGAUGGACUCGCGGCUUAUCAGCUUGUUGGUGGGGUAGUGGCUUACCAAGGCUUUGACGGGUAGCCGGCCUGAGAGGGUGACCGGCAGGCGGGGGACCGGGGCACGGCAGAGACGGGGACGGGGGGGGGGAGGGGACAAUUGUGCACCGGGGGCGGGGGCGGGAGGCAGCGACGCCGCGGCCGGGAGAUGGGCCUCAGCGUUGGAAUGCGCUUUCGGCGGGGGAGGGGAGUGAAUGAAGGUAGUGGGAAAAGGGGCGCCGGCACACUCCGUGCCAGCGGCCCGGGUAACACGAGGAGGUGCAGAGGUCUGACC